This 301-nucleotide ribosomal RNA is filed under the name uncultured bacterium. Its description in RNAcentral is "partial 16S ribosomal RNA". It matches the Rfam family "Bacterial small subunit ribosomal RNA", at positions 509 to 807 of the family's 1533-position model. The record is from RNAcentral.
CAGUCGCCGCGGGAAUACGUAGGUGGCAAGCGUUGUCCGGAAUUAUUGGGCGUAAAGGGCUCGCAGGCGGUUUCUUAAGUCUGAUGUGAAAGCCCCCGGCUCAACCGGGGAGGGUCAUUGGAAACUGGGAAACUUGAGUGCAGAAGAGGAGAGUGGAAUUCCGCGUGUAGCGGUGAAAUGCGUAGAGAUGUGGAGGAACACCAGUGGCGAAGGCGACUCUCUGGUCUGUAACUGACGCUGGGGAGCGAAAGCGUGGGGAGCGAACAGGAUUAGAUACCCCUGUAGUCCCUGUCUCUUAUAC